RNAcentral lists this ribosomal RNA (248 nucleotides) under uncultured bacterium. Its description in RNAcentral is "partial 16S ribosomal RNA". It matches the Rfam family "Bacterial small subunit ribosomal RNA", at positions 57 to 305 of the family's 1533-position model. The record is from RNAcentral.
GCAAGUCGAGGGGUAGCAUUACUCUCGCGUAGCUGGCGACCGGCGCACGGGUGCGUAACGCGUAUGCAAUCUACCUAUUACUAAGGGAUAGCCUCUAGAAAUGAGAUUAAUACCUAAUGGCAUCUAAGCUUUGCAUGAUACUAAGAUUAAAGAUUUAUCGGUGAGAGAUGAGUAUGCGUGACAUUAGCUAGAUGGUGUGGUAACGGCGUACCAAGGCAACGAUGUCUAGGGGAUCUGAGAGGACUACC